GCGUUUGUGAUGGAAUUGGUAGACAUGCUGGCUUUAGAUGCCAGUGCCUGAGGCGUGGGAGUUCAAAUCUCCCCAAACGUACCA
This 84-nucleotide transfer RNA is filed under the name Vibrio alginolyticus. Its description in RNAcentral is "tRNA-Leu". It matches the Rfam family "tRNA". Rfam says of the family: Transfer RNA (tRNA) molecules are approximately 80 nucleotides in length. Their secondary structure includes four short double-helical elements and three loops (D, anti-codon, and T loops). The record is from RNAcentral. Lineage: Bacteria; Pseudomonadati; Pseudomonadota; Gammaproteobacteria; Vibrionales; Vibrionaceae. RNAcentral also lists the same sequence under 2 other names.